This 513-nucleotide ribosomal RNA is filed under the name uncultured Chloroflexota bacterium. RNAcentral describes it as "bacterial SSU rRNA". It matches the Rfam family "Bacterial small subunit ribosomal RNA", at positions 370 to 896 of the family's 1533-position model. Lineage: Bacteria; Bacillati; Chloroflexota. The record is from RNAcentral.
AAUGGGCGCAAGCCUGAUGCAGCGACGCCGCGUGGGUGAAGAAGGUCUUCGGAUCGUAAAGCCCUUUUCUGCGUGACGAGGAAGGACGGUAGCGCAGGAAUAAGUCUCGGCUGACUACGUGCCAGCAGCCGCGGUAAAACGUAGGAGACAAACGUUAUCCGGAGUUACUGGGCGUAAAGGGCGUGCAGGUGGUCUGUUAAGUCUGGCGUGAAAGCUCCCGGCUAAACCGGGAGAGGUCGUUGGAUACUGGCGGACUAGAGGACGGUAGAGGCGUGUGGAAUUCCGGGUGUAGUGGUGAAAUGCGUAGAGAUCCGGAGGAACACCAGUGGCGAAGGCGACACGCUGGGCCGUACCUGACACUAAGACGCGACAGCAUGGGGAGCGAACGGGAUUAGAAACCCCGGUAGUCCAUGCCGUAAACGAUGCCAGCUAGAUGUUCAAGACGCGCAAGCGGCUGGGGUAUCGAAGCCAACGCGGUAAGCUGGCCGCCUGGGGAGUACGGUCGCAAGGCUA